UUUCAAUAUCAAUUGUACUGGAAAUCCAGUUCACAGUUCUCUCAAACAUGUAAAAUCAAAGCCUUUGAUCAUUUUCAGCUGUCAAUUUUGUCAGUUUCAGCUACUUUGACAUCCCUGUAAAAAUAAAUCGGCAGUUGUUGUGUGGUACAUUUCUGGUGAUGACUGACGAUAACUUUUCCACCAACAAAGCUCACUUUUUAAUUUUUCUACUAAAUUUAUUUCACGGAAAUGACGAAUAUUUAGUUUAUUUUUACUCGUCCGUGCCCUCCGUGGAUGCUAAGGGCUGUCACUAGGUGGCUAAAUAUGUCUGUGUGUUUAGGGAUUUAACUAUUCAGCUAUCUAGAGGAAAGUAGGGGCAGGGGUGGGGGUCAUCAAAUUUCGACAUUCAGAUAACACAUUCCAUUUCUAUUACGAUAUUUCUUUUUAUUCGAGACGCUGUCGGAGAAGGUUACCUUAGCCAUUGUCUCAUGGAGGGGCACUUUUGUUUAAGACUUCGUUUUUUAAUUGAGUUUUUAUAUUUCUAUCAACAGCCUGGUGAAGUCUGAGCUUCUUCAUUGAAAUACGUCCAUGUGUUCGCUGCCUUGAAGAGGGUCUAUUUUGCAAGACAAAUGAGAUGAAAAGAGGAAACUUGAAAAGGGUUCCUCGUUCAGUUAGAGCUGUUCAUGGCGUUGUCUGGUGUGCAGUGGUUUUGCAUUCAUUAAGUCGAGAGAUGCCCUGAGGUGGAUGAUCAACUGCUGAGACUUUUCUCGCAUUGUCUUUUUCAAUGGCGAUGCUGUCCAAGAAGGUUUAGCUUGGCCAUUGCAGGCAACUUUCUCUGUUGACAAUGUUCAUCUUAAAAAUGGGACAAAGCACCUGAUGCUAGCAACAUCGCAAUCUUGUUCCACUGAUGACACCAUCUUCUUUGGACAUCGUGGGAUACUGUCAGUCAAAUUGUUCGAAAUCAAUGUGGUCAACUCAACUUCAACAUUCUUCUUCACAAAUAUUUUGAAGGAUUAAUGGCUUGGUGAGGUUCAGCUUUUUCAUGGCAGUCAAAUGUCCACAUGGAAUUGUUGCAGCUGUGAAGGUCGUAGUGAGCUGUUGCGUGAUGACCAUGUGCUGGUGUGGGAAGUGCUGCAUGCUGUCUGGUGUUGGUUUCCAUCGUCAGUUAGAUGUAGAGCUAAUUAUGUUGUUGCUCUUUGGUGUGCAGUUCAUGUUCAGGUGCUUUUGUUGCAGCCAGCUGGUGAAAGAGGUUAAAGGUGUGUAGAGCUGUAGCUUAUUGUAGCAGUCAACAAGGUGUUAUUCUGAAGUGCAAUAUCAAUUAAGACAUUCUGAAAUGAUUUGGUGACAAUGUGAUAAACAAUAUGCUGAAUGGAGUCUGCUGUUUUUGUUAUCAAGGAGUGGAGAAGUAAGACUUGAAGCAAGGCUUCAAGAAAAUGAAAUGGUCUCGGCGUAAAUGUACAGUCGCUUUGCAGUCUCAAUCCUGUUCAAGCUGUUGCUAUCCUGAAUUAUGCUGGAGUUUUGGAAUUAGCUGAUCCUGAAGUUGGGUUGCUGGUGUUAUCCUGAAGAAGCUGAUGUUGAUGUUAUUGAGUAAGUGUGCCAGUUCAGUUCUGGUUGUUUAAAAUUAUAUCCAUGUUGUAGAUUUGUUAUCAACUAAGACAUGUUGCAACCUGUUGUUAAUUUAAACAGCGCGUCUUCCUGAAAUAUCCUCACCCAUACGUUUUUAAAUAAUUCUUAAGUAAUGGGAUGUCAAAACUUGCAAUAUUUUCCUUGUGCAUUGUUAAAUCUGAUAUUUUUCAUGAGUAUGUGAAAUUUUGAAACAAAUAAAAUUUAAACCAAU
This 1816-nucleotide long non-coding RNA is filed under the name Daphnia pulicaria. RNAcentral describes it as "uncharacterized LOC124311570, transcript variant X2". Lineage: Eukaryota; Metazoa; Arthropoda; Branchiopoda; Diplostraca; Daphniidae. The record is from RNAcentral.